Molecule: transfer RNA, 71 nt
Filed under: Bos taurus (domestic cattle)
Lineage: Eukaryota; Metazoa; Chordata; Mammalia; Artiodactyla; Bovidae
Rfam family: tRNA
About the family: Transfer RNA (tRNA) molecules are approximately 80 nucleotides in length.
Source: Rfam by way of RNAcentral
UCCUGGUGGCUCAGAUGGUAAAGCAUCUGCCUACAGUGCAGGAGACCUAGUUUCAAUCCCUGGAUCAGGAA